AUUUAUGAUUAUUCAUCGAUUUAUUAUAUCACUAUUUUAUUUUAGUGCAUACUCAGUUUAUAUAGAGUCUGGCUACUAUCCUAUUAAUAGAAUUGGGACCAUUAUCCUAUUAAGUCGUUUUGAAUAAUCGACACUCCAAGUUGAUAAUUAGCACCGUUGAAAUUGAUCUACACUAUAAAAAAUAUUUAAAAACCGAAUUUUAUAAUUUUUAAAAAUCAUUAUCAAGUCUAUCUAAGAGUCGAAAAAAUGAACGAUCAUAAAUGAAUAAUUUUCUUAAAAUAGAGAUUGAACUUUCUCAAAUCAUGAUCUGAAUUAUCAAAUAUUAUUUAAAUAGUGUAAAGAAUUUUCUAUCAAAAAUUUAAACAGUUUGGAUUGCUCUACACCAUUAAAUAAGCAAACAGCUUAUAUAGGUCAUAAAAAAUUAUCAAUUUUACGAUCCUUUAAUCACCAUAUAAAUGAUUUUAAAAUUUCUGAAAUUUAGUUUCUAGAUAUUUCAAAUACUCUAGAUCAACUUCAACGGUUCCGAUCAUCGAUUCGGCAUCUCUAUCAUCAAGAAUGACUUGAUAGGACGAUGGUCUCUAUCCUAUUAAUAGAAUAGUAGCUAGAUUCGUUUAUAUAUUAGCCAAAUUUCUUAUUUAAUGUUUUAAUUUUUAAAAAACAUGAAAUUAGUAAAAAAUAGGGUAAACUUGAAAUACUCUCGUGAUUUUGUACUUUCUCACUUCAGUAGUUUAUGAUUUAAAGUGUAUUAAUCUAGUAUCAUGUGAAUUUAUUUUUCUUUUUUUGUCAGCUCCUUCUUUAAAAUUUUGUCUAAAUAUAUAAAAAAAUUUUUAGAUAUUUCAUCUAAAUUUAUCGAAUAUUUAUUUUAAUAUUUUUUAAUUU
RNAcentral lists this long non-coding RNA (879 nucleotides) under Ananas comosus (pineapple). RNAcentral's name for it is "long non-coding RNA (ACOM_LNC008035)". Lineage: Eukaryota; Viridiplantae; Streptophyta; Magnoliopsida; Poales; Bromeliaceae. The record is from RNAcentral.